AGCCAUGCAUGUCUAAGUAUAAGCUUUUAUACGGUGAAACUGCGAAUGGCUCAUUAAAACAGUUAUAGUUUAUUUGAUGGUCACCUUUACAUGGAUAACCAUGGUAAUUCUAUGGCUAAUACAUGCGCACUCGCCUCCUUCUCUGGAGGGGCUGUGUUUAUUAGAUACAAAACCAACCCACUUUGUGGAGUCUGGGUGAUUCAUAGUAACCGAACGGAUCGCAGUUGGCUUCGGCCCGCGAUAUAUCUUUCAAGUUUCUGACCUAUCAGCUUUCGACGGUAGGGUAUUGGCCUACCGUGGCAGUGACGGGUAACGGGGAAUUAGGGUUCGAUUCCGGAGAGGGAGCCUGAGAAACGGCUACCACAUCUAAGGAAGGCAGCAGGCGCGCAAAUUACCCAAUGAAAACAGCUUCGAGGUAGUGACGAGAAAUAACAAUACAGGGCAUUUUUUGUUCUGUAAUUGGAAUGAUGGGAAUGUAAAACCCUUUCAGAUUAACAAUUGGAGGGCAAGUCUGGUGCCAGCAGCCGCGGUAAUUCCAGCUCCAAUAGUGUAUAUUAGAGUUGUUGCAGUUAAAAAGCUCGUAGUUGGAUUUCUGUCGUGGUCAUCCGGUUCCGCCCGUACGGGUGUGCGCCUGGUUUGCCCUCGGCUUUCUUCCGUUAGCCUUCGGCGCUUCAUUGCGUCUGUUGGUGUUUCGGAACUUUUACUUUGAGAAAAAUAGAGUGUUUCAAGCAGGCUUGUCGCCCUGAAUACUUCAGCAUGGAAUAAUAAGAUAGGACCUUGGUUCUAUUUUGUUGGUUUCUAGGACUAAGGUAAUGAUUAAUAGGGACAGUUGGGGGCAUUCGUAUUUAACUGUCAGAGGUGAAAUUCUUAGAUUUGUUAAAGACGAACUACUGCGAAAGCAUUUGCCAAGGAUGUUUUCAUUAAUCAAGAACGACAGUAGGGGGUUUGAAGACGAUUAGAUACCGUCGUAAUCUCUACCAUAAACUAUGCCGACUAGAGAUAGGGAAAUGCCUACCUUGGCUUCUCCUGCACCUCAUGAGAAAUCAAAGUCUCUGGGUUCUGGGGGGAGUAUGGUCGCAAGGCUGAAACUUAAAGGAAUUGACGGAAGGGCACCACCAGGCGUGGAGCCUGCGGCUUAAU
Molecule: ribosomal RNA, 1140 nt
Filed under: Eimeria vermiformis
Lineage: Eukaryota; Apicomplexa; Conoidasida; Eucoccidiorida; Eimeriidae
Description: SSU rRNA
Rfam family: Eukaryotic small subunit ribosomal RNA
Source: RNAcentral